UAGUCGAAUCUUCGGCAAUGGGGGCAACCCUGACCGAGCAACGCCGCGUGAGUGAAGAAGGUUUUCGGAUCGUAAAGCUCUGUUGUAAGUCAAGAACGAGUGUGAGAGUGGAAAGUUCACACUGUGACGGUAGCUUACCAGAAAGGGACGGCUAACUACGUGCCAGCAGCCGCGGUAAUACGUAGGUCCCGAGCGUUGUCCGGAUUUAUUGGGCGUAAAGCGAGCGCAGGCGGUUUGAUAAGUCUGAAGUUAAAGGCUGUGGCUCAACCAUAGUUCGCUUUGGAAACUGUCAAACUUGAGUGCAGAAGGGGAGAGUGGAAUUCCAUGUGUAGCGGUGAAAUGCGUAGAUAUAUGGAGGAACACCGGUGGCGAAAGCGGCUCUCUGGUCUGUAACUGACGCUGAGGCUCGAAAGCGUGGGGAGCGAACAGGAUUAGAUACCCUGGUAGUCCACGCCGUAAACGAUGAGUGCUAGGUGUUGGGUCCUUUCCGGGACUCAGUGCCGCAGCUAACGCAUUAAGCACUCCGCCUGGGGAGUACGACCGCAAGGUUG
RNAcentral lists this ribosomal RNA (551 nucleotides) under uncultured bacterium. RNAcentral's name for it is "bacterial SSU rRNA". It matches the Rfam family "Bacterial small subunit ribosomal RNA", at positions 354 to 896 of the family's 1533-position model. The record is from RNAcentral.